This 495-nucleotide long non-coding RNA is filed under the name Physcomitrium patens. RNAcentral describes it as "long non-coding RNA (PPAT_LNC001879)". The record is from RNAcentral. Lineage: Eukaryota; Viridiplantae; Streptophyta; Bryopsida; Funariales; Funariaceae.
AUUUUCCGCAUCCAGCCUUAAGUCGCAUGGUAUAGAAUUAAGUCCCGGGGAGCUUUUCGAUUCAUACCAUGUCCUUUUCUUCUAGGUUUUCUUGUAGCUUAACAUAGACGUACCAGCAGUUUGGCUGGUAGUUGUGGACCUGGAUAAGCUAUGAAAAGGCUCUCAAAAGGCAUCGCUUCGUAAUGCACUUUUCAUGAUCGACUAACUGCAAACUCAAACAUGUAUGCUGUUUUGAGUAGCUUAUCUCUGGAUGAAGUAUCCCGUAGAGCUGUAGAGGCCUGGGAAAGAGGUGCCACCGAAGUUUGUAUGCAGGUAUGCACAAGUCCUGUAUCAUAUUCUGUAAUCUUCAAACAAACGAUGUAAUUCUUGUUUAGUCAGCUUGUAACUACGAUGUAAUUACAUGUUAUAUGGAUUCGUAGGGGGGAAUACAUCCUGAAUUCACUGGGGAAACUUACAUGGAGAUACUGAAAGCAGUAAAGACAGCUGCUCCAGAAC